RNAcentral lists this ribosomal RNA (465 nucleotides) under Vreelandella stevensii. RNAcentral's name for it is "partial 16S ribosomal RNA". It matches the Rfam family "Bacterial small subunit ribosomal RNA", at positions 338 to 795 of the family's 1533-position model. The record is from RNAcentral. Lineage: Bacteria; Pseudomonadati; Pseudomonadota; Gammaproteobacteria; Oceanospirillales; Halomonadaceae.
CCUACGGGAUGCAGCAGUGGGGAAUAUUGGACAAUGGGCGAAAGCCUGAUCCAGCCAUGCCGCGUGUGUGAAGAAGGCCUUCGGGUUGUAAAGCACUUUCAGUGGGGAAGAAAGCCUUGGGGCUAAUACCCUCGAGGAAGGACAUCACCCACAGAAGAAGCACCGGCUAACUACGUGCCAGCAGCCGCGGUAAUACGGAGGGUGCGAGCGUUAAUCGGAAUUACUGGGCGUAAAGCGCGCGUAGGCGGUCUGAUAAGCCGGUUGUGAAAGCCCCGGGCUCAACCUGGGAACGGCAUCCGGAACUGUCAGGCUAGAGUGCAGGAGAGGAAGGUAGAAUUCCCGGUGUAGCGGUGAAAUGCGUAGAGAUCGGGAGGAAUACCAGUGGCGAAGGCGGUCUUCUGGACUGACACUGACGCUGAGGUGCGAAAGCGUGGGUAGCAAACAGGAUUAGAUACCCUGGUAGUC